AGCUGGAAAACAGAGAUUCUGUGUACACUGUUCUUUGAAAGUAGAUUCACUAAUUACUUCAUGAUGAGUGAGGCAAAGGCCAGGUUUAAGAGAAUAUGGAGCUGUUCCGUGCAGUUUUCUUUGCUUUAUGGAUGACAGCAGGAAGACACUGACAAAGAUAUAUGUUCGGUGAUAUGCAAUUAUCUUAAGGAAUAAGAAGAUACUGAAAAUGUAUUUCAAGUGCUAUUAAAAAAUAAAAGCUGUAAUAACUAAAAAUGGGUUAUUUUAAAAGAGCUAAGCCAAUUCCCAAUUCCUCUGAAAAUCUACCAGGUGCUCUUUUAGAUGUGCCAACUGUACCUCUCUGCUAUUUUUCAUUUCAGUCUUCCUAUAGAUUUUUGACAAAAUUUGCUAUGUGAUAAAAAGUGAUAACUUCCAUUUUUUUUGUGGUUGAUUGAUAUCAGUGUCAAGAUCCAAGUUUUUGGGCUGCCUGAAUGCUAUGAGAGGGAAAAAUCCAUCUGUUAUCUUUUUUUUAUGAAUUUCAUCAGGUCAGUAUUGUACCUCAUGUACAGCUUUGGAACAUGGGGGUUCUAAGUGAAGAAUCUGUAUUAUUUCCUAUAUGGAAAUAAUAAUGGUCAAAUUAUGGAAGUCUUGGACUCCUUCCCAGGGCUGCAUGAAAUUUAAACAUUCCAGUGCAGAAAUGAAGAUACUAAUCCCAUACCUCUAACAGUAAGGUUCAGCAGAUGCUUUGUGUCCUUG
Non-coding RNA from Cyanistes caeruleus (blue tit), 735 nucleotides. Lineage: Eukaryota; Metazoa; Chordata; Aves; Passeriformes; Paridae. The record is from RefSeq and is a predicted model, not a curated record.